This 1359-nucleotide ribosomal RNA is filed under the name Triticum aestivum (bread wheat). Its description in RNAcentral is "partial small subunit ribosomal RNA". Lineage: Eukaryota; Viridiplantae; Streptophyta; Magnoliopsida; Poales; Poaceae. The record is from RNAcentral.
AUGGUGCACUGCAAGCAGCCGCGCAGGAGGCCCCAAGAUGCCGCCGCCGUCCCCGGGACGGCCGGUCGCGCGCGCGCCGGGGGCGGGGCCGCGCCCGCGGCGUCGGACCCCGGGUACAUGAGGCCGACCAGCAGCUCCGGCGCCAGGGCCGGCCGGGAGGUUGCAUCUGCGGCUGUUUCGGCGGCCUCCGCUCCCGCCGCGCAGCCGGUGGGGGCCAAGGCGGCGGCCCUCGUUGCGAGUACGCCGCGCGCGGCCAGGGCCACGUGCUCCUCCGCGCAGAAGAGCGCCCGCGGAGGCGGGGCCGGCGGGUGCGGCGGCGAGGGGCACCGCGCGUGCCGGUACGCCUACUGCACCUUCAAGGGCCACGCGCCCGCGGCGCCGCCGCUGGGGGCCUUCCUGGCGUCCCGGAGGCGCCUCAUCAAGACGGAGCAGAGCAUGAAGCACCGGGGCGUCUCCGCCUUCCGCGACCCCAAGACCAAGAAUACAAGCACCAGCAAUGCCGCCGGCAAAGGGGACGACGGGUUCUUCGUCCAGGUGGCGUGUCCCGGCGCCGGCGCCGGCGCCCGCCCCAAGACGGCGAGCUCGGGCUCCUGCUGCAGCGGCCUCUCCGCCGAGGAGGCGGAGUCUCCCUACGUCAACUUCGGCCGCCGGGGUCUCCGGUGCGGGAUGACCCACGAGUGGGCCGACCCGGGCGCCUCGGUGGACGGCUCCUGCGGGUCCAGCGACGUCAUCUCGGACGGCUUCGCCGACCUGCCGGGCACGGCGAGCUCUCCCCCUCCCUCUCCCGGACGCAAGGAGCAGAUUGGUCAACAAGAGGGGGAGGCUUCUUGGGUCGAUCAACAAGAAGCAGAGGAGGAGGACUCUGGUGCCUGCGACAGGUCUGAUAUCUCCGAGGAGCUGGGUCCAAAAUACGAAUGCAACAUGUCUAAAGAUUGUGGCAGCGUCUCUUCAGUGGAGUCCUCAAUGGAUGACAUAUCCAGUGCAUUUGGUGGGAUGAAUUUCCAGGAUGCAGGUGCUGAUGCCGCGGCAACCAGCCAGGGAACCAAGCUGACCAUGUCCAGGAGAAGGACGCCCAGAGGCGGGGAGCGAAUCCGGGCAUUCAACCCCAGGGCCCCCAACUUUCUUCCGGUGGCGCCUGAUCCGGAUGCUGAGAAGGUUGAUCUCAGGCAUCAGAUGACCGAUGAUCGCAAGAAUGCCGAGGAGUGGAUGGUCGAUUAUGCACUUCGGAGGACGGUGAACAAGUUGGCCCGUGCUCAGAAGAGGAAGGUGGAGAUGCUUGUCCAGGCCUUUGAGACUGUUCUGCCGCCAGUCCUGGGCGAGAACAAGUCCGACGACAAGAAAAGCUUUGCCUGCAACUGA